UAAAGUGGCGCACGGGUGAGUAACACGUGACUAACCUACCCUCGAGUGGGGAAUAACCUAGAGAAAUCUGGGCUAAUACCGCAUAACACUUACGAGUCAAAGCAGCAAUGCGCUUGGGGAGGGGGUCGCGGCAGAUUAGCUAGUUGGCGGGGUAAUGGCCCACCAAGGCGAUGAUCUGUAUCCGGCCUGAGAGGGCGCACGGACACACUGGAACUGAAACACGGUCCAG
This 229-nucleotide ribosomal RNA is filed under the name uncultured bacterium. Its description in RNAcentral is "partial 16S ribosomal RNA". It matches the Rfam family "Bacterial small subunit ribosomal RNA", at positions 91 to 334 of the family's 1533-position model. The record is from RNAcentral.